Molecule: long non-coding RNA, 2399 nt
Filed under: Mus musculus (house mouse)
Lineage: Eukaryota; Metazoa; Chordata; Mammalia; Rodentia; Muridae
Description: long non-coding RNA chr5:147505348-147507747
Source: RNAcentral
GCAUUAAUAGACACUCAAAGGGGUGUCUAUUAAUUGACACCAAGGAUUUCUAAAUUUAGAAAAUUUUAAGUUUAUUCUGAUAUUGAUUACUAGAUUAAAACAUAUUAUCAAGGCCAUGCAAAGAAUAAGCAUAAUAAAAUGUGCCUGAAGAGGUGUGAGGGCUGAUGUAGGUUCAAGCCCAGCCUGUGCUGCAAGGCGAGGACAAGGCCACCCUUGCAUCCGUCAUGAACCCAUCUCAGAACAAAGUGAUAGGAAGUCUGUAAGUUAGAGUCUUCCAACAACUCUUUUGUGUUUUCAAUUUCAAAUAACUGUUGUUUAAUUGACAUUGCUUUGACUUAAAUUGUCAGGCAGCUAAAGACAGUUUUAUCUAUUAAUUGAGUCACUAUUACUUUUAAAACUCUCCUUUCCCCAUUUCUGAUGUGAGUCUGGGUUCAGGAUCUUGCAUAUUUUAUUCUAGUAUUAUCCUUUACUUUUAAAUAUUUUAAAAAAUAUUGUUAUCUAUAUGUGUGUGUCUGUGUGAGUGAAUUAUGUGUAUGUGUGUGCAUGCACAUUACCUGAGAGGCCAGAAGAGAGAACAUUGUGUUUUGGAGGUGAAGUAACAUGUAUUUGCGAGCCCCACCCAGUAUGGGCAUUUUGGAAGAUCAACAGGUGCUCCUAACCACCAUCUCUCUAUUUAAUCCCAGUCAGCGUGUACGUCUCUAACCUGAGGGGGGGGUAGGGGAUGGGUGGUACUGUCUCAAACUCAGGCCCUUGUGAUGCUGUGCUGGUGAAGACUGCUACAAACUGUAUUCCCACCUCAUUACUGGGAUUUUUUUUUUUUUUAACUUUUUCUAGCAUGGUGGUGGUGGUAGCACAUUCCUUUAAUCCCAGCAUUCAGGAGACAGAAAUAAGUGGUGGUAGGUGGGGUGUCUCAGUGAGUUUGAGAUCAGCAUGGUCUACAAGUUCCAGGACAGCCAGUACACAGGGAAAAACCUUACUGGAAAAACAAACAAAUACACAAAACCUUUUUCUCUUCCCUGUUUCCUGAGAAAUGUAUUCAGACAGGAAGACCAGAACAUUGCUCUUCGUCUUUUUGUUUAUAAGCAUUGGAGAGCAGAGUGGUGCUCCUCGGCUGAUAGCAAUCCUGGAGACAGUCUGUGGUAUGUGUGCAGAAGUCAGGCUCAAAGUGCACUUCUUAAAGGCCUGCCUGGGAAGUUGCUACGCAGCUAGUAUCUGAGAAGUAGAGUGUUGAAAACUUUCCAGUCUUCUUCAACUGGUUAGUUUUUGCUAAGAAGCUCUUUUGCAGUGGUGUUUGCUACAUAGUCUGUUUUUUCCAGACUUUACAAUUCUGUUGUGCUAGAACAUCACCCUUGAUACCAGUCUCUGGUAAACCUUGGGCACCCAGCCUUCAUAGGCUUCUCCUUGUCUGUAAAUUACACACAUAGCUGGGGGCAGAGUGUACUCGUGGUCCAUACCAUAACACAUCAUUAAUUCCUUUAGACUCUCAUAGUGUCUUUUUCUCUUGUAGUUGAUUUUGCAUCACAGUGAUUAAUCUUAGCUAUUAGUAGAUCUGUAUGCUGAGCAGAAUACAGUCUGAUGACUUCCUGGAUGUGUGGAAGUGUCUUGGAUUCAAUCAACAUGGUUUUGUCACUAAAUUCACUGAAGGAAUAUAUUAAGGAUGAUAUUGUAAAGCAGCUUUGCUUAUAAGUUCUUAGUGUGUCUCUGAUGGUGUUACUUUUAAAUGUCUUUAGAAACCAGAGGUUUGCUCUGCGUUCGGGACAGUUCCCUAGCUUGUUCUGUGUUGACAAAGAGGGCUGGCAUCUAUAGGCAUAAGUUGUUGAAGCUUCCAAGGAGUGAAGAGAAUUCUGUCUCUUGGUUUUUUUCUAAAUCACCUUUAGCACAUUCAGCUUAAAACUUCACACAAACUUUUAUAGUUUUGUGUUUGGAUACUUUACAUUGUUGUCAGAUUUCUUCUCAAGUAGUAUCCUAAUUGAUGUCUGUAAAGAGGCAGCAUUUCUCUGAUUCACUCUUUCUGUUGUAUAGAUACAUAAAGCCAGUAUAUUUUCUAUAAAUGUUAGUUUUAUUUCUGGCUUAUCUUUUCACAUAUACUAGCUUGGCUCAUAGUUUGAUAUCAUACAGAAUCGGGCAUUUGACUUUUUUGUCUUACUUCCAGUUUUAAAAUUAGUUUUUCCCAGUUUUAUAUGAUGAUCAUUCUGGGAAUCUUAGAUGCGUUUGUUUCUGAGGAAACAUCUAUUUAAAAAUUUCCCAUUGAAGAAAGUACUUUGCCAGGCGUGGUGGUGCAUGCCUUUAAUCCCAGCACCCAGGAGGCCAGAGGCAGGUAGAUUUCUUAGUUCGAGGCUCGCCUGGUCUACAAAGUGAGUUGCAGGACAGCCAGGGCUAUAUAGAGAAACCCUGUCUCG